CCUACGGGAGACAGCAGUGAGGAAUAUUGGUCAAUGGGCGCGAGCCUGAACCAGCCAAGUAGCGUGAAGGAUGACUGCCCUACGGGUUGUAAACUUCUUUUAUAAAGGAAUAAAGUGAGGCACGUGUGCCUUUUUGUAUGUACUUUAUGAAUAAGGAUCGGCUAACUCCGUGCCAGCCGCCGCGGUAAUACGGAGGUACCGAGCGUUAUCCGGAUUUAUUUGGGUUAACGGGAGCGCAGGUGGGUUGUUAAGUCAGUUGUGAAAGUUUGCGGCUCAACCGUAAAAUUGCAAUUGAUACGGGCAGCCUUGAUUUCAGUUGAGGUAGGCGUAAUUC
This 334-nucleotide ribosomal RNA is filed under the name uncultured bacterium. Its description in RNAcentral is "partial 16S ribosomal RNA". It matches the Rfam family "Bacterial small subunit ribosomal RNA", at positions 338 to 669 of the family's 1533-position model. The record is from RNAcentral.